RNAcentral lists this non-coding RNA (109 nucleotides) under Cebus imitator (Panamanian white-faced capuchin). Lineage: Eukaryota; Metazoa; Chordata; Mammalia; Primates; Cebidae. The record is from RNAcentral.
GGCUGGUCCAGAUGGAGUGAGUUAUCUUAGUUCAUUGUUCACAGGCAGUUACUGAUGGAACUCCUGGUGUUGUUCUUUUCCCACUUCUCACUACAUUUGUCUAGUAAAA